ACCGAUAUGGCGACCGAAGGGGAUGUGGAGCUGGAGUUGGAGACUGAGACCAGCGGCCCAGAGCGGCCUCCCGAGAAGCCACGGAAACAUGACAGUGGUGCGGCGGACCUCGAGCGGGUCACCGACUAUGCGGAGGAGAAGGAGAUCCAGAGUUCCAAUCUGGAAACGGCCAUGUCUGUUAUUGGAGACAGACGGUCCCGUGAGCAGAAAGCCAAACAGGAGCGGUAAGUCUUCAGCGCACAGCCAGCCUUAAAUUUCUCCCCGCUCCACCCCAGACAACAAUAAAAACCAUUUUUA
Non-coding RNA from Microcebus murinus (gray mouse lemur), 297 nucleotides. The record is from RefSeq and is a predicted model, not a curated record. Lineage: Eukaryota; Metazoa; Chordata; Mammalia; Primates; Cheirogaleidae.